Nerophis ophidion (straightnose pipefish) is the source of this 83-nucleotide non-coding RNA. NCBI's taxonomy places the organism in Eukaryota, Metazoa, Chordata, Actinopteri, Syngnathiformes, Syngnathidae. The record is from the annotation of a RefSeq genome assembly.
ACCAGGGUGGCCGAGUGGUUAAGGCGUUGGACUUAAGAUCCAAUGGACUCUAGUCCUCGUGGGUUCGAACCCCACUCCUGGUA